RNAcentral lists this ribosomal RNA (452 nucleotides) under uncultured bacterium. RNAcentral's name for it is "bacterial SSU rRNA". It matches the Rfam family "Bacterial small subunit ribosomal RNA", at positions 343 to 787 of the family's 1533-position model. The record is from RNAcentral.
GGGAGGCAGCAGCUAAGAAUAUUCCGCAAUGGACGAAAGUCUGACGGAGCGACGCCGCGUGGAUGAAGAAGGCCGAAAGGUUGUAAAGUUCUUUUGCUAGGGGAGAAUAAGUGAGGGAGGGAAUGCCCUCAUGAUGACAAGGACUAGCGAAUAAGCCCCGGCCAACUACGUGCCAGCAGCCGCGGUAACACGUAGGGGGCGAGCGUUGUUCGGAAUUACUGGGCGUAAAGGGCAUGUAGGCGGCUUGGUAAGCCUGGCGUGAAAGACUGCAGCUUAACUGUAGGGAUGCGUUGGGAACUGCUUAGCUUGAGUUACGGAGAGGGAGCUGGAAUUCCUGGUGUAGGGGUGAAAUCUGUAGAUAUCAGGAAGAACACCGAUGGCGAAGGCAAGCUUCUGGUCGAUAACUGACGCUGAGGUGCGAAAGUGUGGGGAUCAAACAGGAUUAGAUACCC